This 21-nucleotide non-coding RNA is filed under the name Caenorhabditis elegans. Lineage: Eukaryota; Metazoa; Nematoda; Chromadorea; Rhabditida; Rhabditidae. The record is from RNAcentral.
UGAAACGUUGCAUAAAAACAG